CACGGACCGCACGAACGUUAUUCGGUAUCACUGGGCUUAAAGGGUGCGUAGGCGGCUUUGCAAGUUGGGUGUGAAAGCCCUCGGCUCAACCGAGGAAUUGCGCUCAAUACUGCCGAGCUCGAGAGAGACAGAGGUAAGCGGAACUGAUGGUGGAGCGGUGAAAUGCGUUGAUAUCAUCAGGAACACCGGUGGCGAAGGCGGCUUACUGGGUCUUUUCUGACGCUGAGGCACGAAAGCCAGGGGAGCGAAC
RNAcentral lists this ribosomal RNA (250 nucleotides) under uncultured bacterium. Its description in RNAcentral is "partial 16S ribosomal RNA". It matches the Rfam family "Bacterial small subunit ribosomal RNA", at positions 524 to 773 of the family's 1533-position model. The record is from RNAcentral. RNAcentral also lists the same sequence under 1 other name.